RNAcentral lists this long non-coding RNA (431 nucleotides) under Carica papaya (papaya). RNAcentral's name for it is "long non-coding RNA (CPAP_LNC001577)". Lineage: Eukaryota; Viridiplantae; Streptophyta; Magnoliopsida; Brassicales; Caricaceae. The record is from RNAcentral.
UCCCUCGUAGAUUUGUUCGUGGUAUAGCCGAGAGGUCAACACUUGAACAACCCACAAAACAUCCUCUUGACAUUCCCAUUAUUGAUUUCUCCAAGCUUAAUCAACAAAACCCAGAUGAACACUCCACUGAAAUUUCUCACUUAGCAAUCGCCUGUCAGGAAUGGGGAUUUUUCCAGGUUAAAUAUCAUUCUUUCUCUCUGUUUUCAAUUGGAUAUAUAAUAUUAAUACUGUAAUAAGAAGUUGAAGAAUAUUUUUUGCAGGUGAUUAAUCAUGGGAUUGACCUGAAUAUGCUUGAAGCUAUUGAGAAAGUUGCUAAAGAGUUCUUCAUGCUGCCAUUAGAGGAGAAAAAGAAGUACCCAAUGGCGCCAGGGACAGUUCAGGGAUAUGGUCAGGCCUUUGUUUUCUCAGAGGACCAAAAGCUUGACUGGUGC